CAGGAAAGGGCUUUCUUAAUUUAGUGCGNCAACGUAUUAUUAUGAAACUUCUACAUUUAAGUAACAUUGGCAUGAACUACUAGCAUAUGGCUUUUGCAAUUAGAGAUGAACCUAUGAUUAACAAUUUGAUCUGACAGAAUGUUUUUUAGAUUAGCUUCUGACUGGUCUCAGGUGCAGUAUCGCAGAACAUUGUCCUUGGAUUGCAGAACACAGUCCUUAAACCCCUGGGUGAUACCCUGGUGUCAGCUUUGAAAAAGCAAAGCUAAAAGAACAAGACUGAACAUAAAGCUAUUAAACAUAUUACAGGUCAGUUGGGCUCUCCUGUAUUUAUUGACAACACUUCCU
This 345-nucleotide long non-coding RNA is filed under the name Salvator merianae (Argentine black and white tegu). RNAcentral describes it as "lncRNA (ENSSMRG00000019618.1)". Lineage: Eukaryota; Metazoa; Chordata; Lepidosauria; Squamata; Teiidae. The record is from RNAcentral.